CCUGCAGACAGAUGCCAGAGGCAGGACGAGCACAGAUCCUGGGCUGGGGGGUGAGGCAGGCCUGUCCUCUGAGCUCCUGGCUGGGGAUCCAUCCCUCUGUCCCAGGGCACUUUCCCUGUUCUCGCUCUGCACUCUCGGCAUCAUCAGCAUCACAGAAACAACAAGCAAACUCUCUCCUCUUCCAGUUCAGAGGCUGUUUCAGAGAAAACUCCAGCAUUGCCUCAAGUGAACAGGAAACGCUUACAUUUCAAGGCCACUGACUGGAGCCCAUCUAAACAUCAUCAGGGACCACGCGCCAGCUCCCUUUUCAGUCAAGGAAACAGUGAUGGAGCAGCAUCUCCUCACCUUGUCUCUCCGUCAGCCUUCCUGUUCUGCAGAUCAGCUGGCCUGGCUUCUGCAUCAGGAUGAAAAGGUGCCCUGGGAGAUGUCCCAGGGAGCUAGUGAAUACCAAUACUCUUUCCCUCUCUGUAUGUAAAACCCCCUUUUAGGUGGACAGAACUAUUAGUUGAUGGAAGUAUUGACAUUUUUAUGGGGUUGCUUUUGGAAAAGGCUAACACGUAAUUCUAAAUUCAACAUAUGGUUGUGGUCAAACUGUGCGCCUACUGUGUAACGUGCUUGAACAGUAACCCGUGCAUUCUCUUGGCCAGCACGGAGAGAAGCUCGAUUAAUUUCAC
Molecule: long non-coding RNA, 674 nt
Filed under: Capra hircus (goat)
Lineage: Eukaryota; Metazoa; Chordata; Mammalia; Artiodactyla; Bovidae
Description: lncRNA (ENSCHIG00000002060.1)
Source: RNAcentral